GAACGAACGCUGGCGCAUGCCUAACACAUGCAAGUCGAACGAGAUCUUCGGGUCUAGUGGCGCACGGGUGCGUAACGCGUGGGAAUCUGCCCUUGGGUUCGGAAUAACUUCGGGAAACUGAAGCUAAUACCGGAUGAUGACGUAAGUCCAAAGAUUUAUCGCCCAAGGAUGAGCCCGCGUAGGAUUAGCUAGUUGGUGAGGUAAAGGCUCACCAAGGCGACGAUCCUUAGCUGGUCUGAGAGGAUGAUCAGCCACACUGGGACUGAGACACGGCCCAGACUCCUACGGGAGGCAGCAGUGGGGAAUAUUGGACAAUGGGCGAAAGCCUGAUCCAGCAAUGCCGCGUGAGUGAUGAAGGCCUUAGGGUUGUAAAGCUCUUUUGCCCGGGAUGAUAAUGACAGUACCGGGAGAAUAAGCUCCGGCUAACUCCGUG
RNAcentral lists this ribosomal RNA (433 nucleotides) under uncultured bacterium. RNAcentral's name for it is "bacterial SSU rRNA". It matches the Rfam family "Bacterial small subunit ribosomal RNA", at positions 27 to 507 of the family's 1533-position model. The record is from RNAcentral.